RNAcentral lists this ribosomal RNA (467 nucleotides) under uncultured bacterium. Its description in RNAcentral is "partial 16S ribosomal RNA". It matches the Rfam family "Bacterial small subunit ribosomal RNA", at positions 28 to 507 of the family's 1533-position model. The record is from RNAcentral.
GAUGAACGCUGACAGAAUGCUUAACACAUGCAAGUCAACUUGAAUUUGGGUUUUUAACUUAGGUUUGGGUGGCGGACGGGUGAGUAACGCGUAAAGAACUUGCCUCACAGCUAGGGACAACAUUUGGAAACGAAUGCUAAUACCUAAUAUUAUGAUAAUAGGGCAUCCUAUAAUUAUGAAAGCUAUAAGCGCUGUGAGAGAGCUUUGCGUCCCAUUAGCUAGUUGGAGAGGUAACGGCUCACCAAGGCGAUGAUGGGUAGCCGGCCUGAGAGGGUGAUCGGCCACAAGGGGACUGAGACACGGCCCUUACUCAUACGGGAGGCAGCAGUGGGGAAUAUUGGACAAUGGACCAAGAGUCUGAUCCAGCAAUUCUGUGUGCACGAUGAAGUUUUUCGGAAUGUAAAGUGCUUUAAGUUGGGAAGAAAGAAAUGACGGUACCAACAGAAGAAGUGACGGCUAAAUACGUG